AGAUUGAACGCUGGCGGCAUGCCUUACACAUGCAAGUCGAACGGCAGCACGGGAGCAAUCCUGGUGGCGAGUGGCGAACGGGUGAGUAAUACAUCGGAACGUGCCCAGUAGUGGGGGAUAGCCCGGCGAAAGCCGGAUUAAUACCGCAUACGACCUACGGGUGAAAGCGGGGGAUCGACAAGACCUCGCGCUAUCGGAGCGGCCGAUGUCAGAUUAGCUGGUUGGUAGGUAAAAGCCUACCAAGGCGACGAUCUGUAGCUGGUCUGAGAGGACGACCAGCCACACGUGGGACUGAGACACGGCCCAGACUCCGUACGGGAGCAGCAGGUGGGAAUUUUGGACAAGUGGGACG
Molecule: ribosomal RNA, 352 nt
Filed under: uncultured soil bacterium
Lineage: Bacteria
Description: bacterial SSU rRNA
Rfam family: Bacterial small subunit ribosomal RNA
Source: RNAcentral